This 411-nucleotide ribosomal RNA is filed under the name Erythrolamprus pseudoreginae. RNAcentral describes it as "partial 16S ribosomal RNA". It matches the Rfam family "Bacterial large subunit ribosomal RNA", at positions 1915 to 2550 of the family's 2925-position model. Lineage: Eukaryota; Metazoa; Chordata; Lepidosauria; Squamata; Dipsadidae. The record is from RNAcentral.
AACAAUUAAACGGCCGCGGUACUCUAACCGUGCAAAGGUAGCAUAAUCAUUUGUCCACUAAUUAUGGACUAGUAUGAAAGGCAAAAUGAGGGUUUAACUGUCUCUUAUAGUAAGUCAAUUAAACUGAUCUACCAGUAAAAAAGCUGGAAUAAUCACACAAGACCAGAAGACCCUGUGAAGCUUAAACUAAACUAUUAAACCACAUAAUACCUAAUUUCGGUUGGGGCGACCUUGGAAAAAAAAGAACUUCCAAACUAGUGACAUCAAUCACCCUCAGGCCAACAAGCCACAUAUGACCCAGUACACCUGAUAAUUGAACCAAGUUACUCCAGGGAUAACAGCGCCAUCUUCUUCAAGAGUCCAUAUCAAAAAGAAGGUUUACGACCUCGAUGUUGGAUCAGGACAUCCUAA